GAUGAACGCUGGCGGCGUGCCUAAUACAUGCAAGUCGAGCGAAUGGAUUAAGAGCUUGCUCUUAUGAAGUUAGCGGCGGACGGGUGAGUAACACGUGGGUAACCUGCCCAUAAGACUGGGAUAACUCCGGGAAACCGGGGCUAAUACCGGAUAACAUUUUGAACCGCAUGGGUCGAAAUUGAAAGGCGGCUUCGGCUGUCACUUAUGGAUGGACCCGCGUCGCAGUAGCUAGUUGGUGCGUUAACGGCUCACCAAGGCAACGAUGCGUAGCCAACCUGAGAGGGUGAUCGGCCACACUGGGACUGAGACACGGCCCAGACUCCUACGGGAGGCAGCAGUAGGGAAUCUUCCGCAAUGGACGAAAGUCUGACGGAGCAACGCCGCGUGAGUGAUGAAGGCUUUCGGGUCGUAAAACUCUGUUGUUAGGGAAGAACAAGUGCUAGUUGAAUAAGCCGGCACCUUGACGGUACCUAACCAGAAAGCCACGGCUAACUACGUGCCAGCCGCCGCGGUAA
Molecule: ribosomal RNA, 515 nt
Filed under: uncultured bacterium
Lineage: Bacteria
Description: partial 16S ribosomal RNA
Rfam family: Bacterial small subunit ribosomal RNA
Source: RNAcentral